RNAcentral lists this ribosomal RNA (40 nucleotides) under Sticta sp. TW-2018m. RNAcentral describes it as "partial large subunit ribosomal RNA". The record is from RNAcentral. Lineage: Eukaryota; Fungi; Ascomycota; Lecanoromycetes; Peltigerales; Lobariaceae.
UNGACCUCGGAUCAGGUAGGGAUACCCGCUGAACUUAARC